This 900-nucleotide ribosomal RNA is filed under the name Campylobacter jejuni. RNAcentral describes it as "bacterial SSU rRNA". It matches the Rfam family "Bacterial small subunit ribosomal RNA", at positions 550 to 1453 of the family's 1533-position model. Lineage: Bacteria; Pseudomonadati; Campylobacterota; Epsilonproteobacteria; Campylobacterales; Campylobacteraceae. The record is from RNAcentral.
AUCACUGGGCGUAAAGGGCGCGUAGGCGGAUUAUCAAGUCUCUUGUGAAAUCUAAUGGCUUAACCAUUAAACUGCUUGGGAAACUGAUAGUCUAGAGUGAGGGAGAGGCAGAUGGAAUUGGUGGUGUAGGGGUAAAAUCCGUAGAUAUCACCAAGAAUACCCAUUGCGAAGGCGAUCUGCUGGAACUCAACUGACGCUAAGGCGCGAAAGCGUGGGGAGCAAACAGGAUUAGAUACCCUGGUAGUCCACGCCCUAAACGAUGUACACUAGUUGUUGGGAUGCUAGUCAUCUCAGUAAUGCAGCUAACGCAUUAAGUGUACCGCCUGGGGAGUACGGUCGCAAGAUUAAAACUCAAAGGAAUAGACGGGGACCCGCACAAGCGGUGGAGCAUGUGGUUUAAUUCGAAGAUACGCGAAGAACCUUACCUGGGCUUGAUAUCCUAAGAACCUUAUAGAGAUAUGAGGGUGCUAGCUUGCUAGAACUUAGAGACAGGUGCUGCACGGCUGUCGUCAGCUCGUGUCGUGAGAUGUUGGGUUAAGUCCCGCAACGAGCGCAACCCACGUAUUUAGUUGCUAACGGUUCGGCCGAGCACUCUAAAUAGACUGCCUUCGUAAGGAGGAGGAAGGUGUGGACGACGUCAAGUCAUCAUGGCCCUUAUGCCCAGGGCGACACACGUGCUACAAUGGCAUAUACAAUGAGACGCAAUACCGCGAGGUGGAGCAAAUCUAUAAAAUAUGUCCCAGUUCGGAUUGUUCUCUGCAACUCGAGAGCAUGAAGCCGGAAUCGCUAGUAAUCGUAGAUCAGCCAUGCUACGGUGAAUACGUUCCCGGGUCUUGUACUCACCGCCCGUCACACCAUGGGAGUUGAUUUCACUCGAAGCCGGAAUACUAAACUAGUACC